AGAGGGAUAGCCCAGAAAAAUUUGGAUUACUACCUCAUAGUAUUUUCAAAUCGGAUGAUUUGAUUAUUAAAGCUCCNACGGAAAAUGAUGAGGAUGCUUCCUAUUAGCUUGGUNNNNNNNNAACGGAUCCCCAUGGCAAAGAUGGGUAGGGGUCCUGAGAGGAAGAUCCCCCACGCUGGUACGGAGACACGCACCCCACUCCUUCGGGAGGCAGGGGUGAGGAAUAUUGAAUAAAGGGCGCAAUCCUGAUCCCGCCAUGCCGGGGGCAGGAUGACGGCCUUAUGGAUUGUAAACUGCUUUUACCAGGAAGAAACACCCCCUCCCGAGGGUGUUGACGGUACUGUAUGAAUAAGCAUCCAAUAACUCCGUGCCCUCGCCGCGUUAAGCGGAGGAAGCGAGCGUUAUCCUGAAUCAUUGGAAUUAAAGGGUCCGCAGGCGGCCAAGUAAGUCAGUGAAGAAAGUCCAUCGCUAAUCGAUGGAACGGCCAUUGAUACUGNUUGGCUUGAAUUAUUAGGAA
Molecule: ribosomal RNA, 517 nt
Filed under: uncultured bacterium
Lineage: Bacteria
Description: bacterial SSU rRNA
Rfam family: Bacterial small subunit ribosomal RNA
Source: RNAcentral